This 497-nucleotide ribosomal RNA is filed under the name uncultured bacterium. Its description in RNAcentral is "partial 16S ribosomal RNA". It matches the Rfam family "Bacterial small subunit ribosomal RNA", at positions 28 to 507 of the family's 1533-position model. The record is from RNAcentral.
GAUGAACGCUGGCGGCGUGCCUAAUACAUGCAAGUCGAGCGAACAGAUGAGGAUCUUGCUCCUCUGACGUUAUCGGCGGACGGGUUAUUAACACGUGGAUAACCUACCUAUAAGACUGUGAUAACUUCGGGAAACCGGAGCUAAUACCGGAUAAUAUAUUGAACCGCAUGUUUCAAUAGUGAAAGACGGUUUUGCUGUCACUUAUAGAUUGAUCCGCACCGCAUUAGCUAGUUGGUAAGGUAACGGCUUACCAAGGCAACGAUGCGUAGCCGACCUGAGAGGGAGGUCGGACACACUGGUACUGAGGAACGGUACAGACUCCGACGGGAGGAAGCAGUAGAGAAUCUUCCGCGAGGGGCGAAAGGCUGACGGAAGAAAGCCGCGUGAGUGAUGAAGGUCUUCGGAUCGUAAAACUCUGUUAUUAGGAAAGAACAAAUGUGUAAGUAACUAUGAACAUCUUGACGGUACCAAAUCAGAAAGCCACGGCUAACUACGUG